GACGAACGCUGGCGGCGUGCUUAACACAUGCAAGUCGAACGGAAAGGCCCAGCUUGCUGGGUGCUCGAGUGGCGAACGGGUGAGUAACACGUGGGUGAUCUGCCCCUAACUUCGGGAUAAGCUUGGGAAACUGGGUCUAAUACCGGAUAGGACAAUCGUUUAGUGUCGGUUGUGGAAAGUUUUUUCGGUUAGGGAUGAGCCCGCGGCCUAUCAGCUUGUUGGUGGGGUAAUGGCCUACCAAGGCGUCGACGGGUAGCCGGCCUGAGAGGGUGGACGGCCACAUUGGGACUGAGAUACGGCCCAGACUCCUACGGGAGGCAGCAGUGGGGAAUAUUGCACAAUGGGCGCAAGCCUGAUGCAGUGACGCCGCGUGGGGGAUGACGGCCUUCGGGUUGUAAACCUCUUUCGACAGGGACGAAGCUUUGGUGACGGUACCUGUAUAAGAAGCACCGGCUAACUACGUG
Molecule: ribosomal RNA, 464 nt
Filed under: uncultured bacterium
Lineage: Bacteria
Description: partial 16S ribosomal RNA
Rfam family: Bacterial small subunit ribosomal RNA
Source: RNAcentral